RNAcentral lists this ribosomal RNA (481 nucleotides) under uncultured bacterium. RNAcentral's name for it is "partial 16S ribosomal RNA". It matches the Rfam family "Bacterial small subunit ribosomal RNA", at positions 28 to 507 of the family's 1533-position model. The record is from RNAcentral.
GAUGAACGCUGGCGGCGUGCUUAACACAUGCAAGUCGAACGAAGCACUUUAUUUGAUUUCCUUCGGGACUGAUUAUUUUGUGACUGAGUGGCGGACGGGUGAGUAACGCGUGGGUAACCUGCCUUGUACAGGGGGAUAGCAGUUGGAAACGGCUGCUAAUACCGCAUAAGCGCACAGCAUCGCAUGAUGCAGUGUGAAAAACUCCGGUGGUAUAAGAUGGACCCGCGUUGGAUUAGCUAGUUGGUGAGGUAACGGCCCACCAAGGCGACGAUCCAUAGCCGACCUGAGAGGGUGACCGGCCACAUUGGGACUGAGACACGGCCCAAACUCCUACGGGAGGCAGCAGUGGGGAAUAUUGCACAAUGGGCGAAAGCCUGAUGCAGCGACGCCGCGUGAGCGAAGAAGUAUUUCGGUAUGUAAAGCUCUAUCAGCAGGGAAGAUAAUGACGGUACCUGACUAAGAAGCACCGGCUAAAUACGUG